RNAcentral lists this ribosomal RNA (402 nucleotides) under bacterium. Its description in RNAcentral is "partial 16S ribosomal RNA". It matches the Rfam family "Bacterial small subunit ribosomal RNA", at positions 355 to 776 of the family's 1533-position model. The record is from RNAcentral.
UGGGGAAUUUUGCACAAUGGGGGAAACCCUGAUGCAGCGACGCCGCGUGAUUUAGAAGGCCUUCGGGUUGUAAAAAUCUUUUCUAUGGGAAGAAAAUGACAGUACCAUAGGAAUAAGGACCGGCUAAUUACGUGCCAGCAGCCGCGGUAAUACGUAAGGUCCGAGCGUUGUCCGGAAUCAUUGGGCGUAAAGGGUACGUAGGCGGGUAAGCAAGUUAGAAGUGAAAUCCUAUAGCUCAACUAUAGUAAGCUUUUAAAACUGCUCAUCUUGAGGUAUGGAAGGGAAAGUGGAAUUCCUAGUGUAGCGGUGAAAUGCGCAGAUAUUAGGAGGAAUACUGGUGGCGAAGGCGACUUUCUGGCCAUAACCUGACGCUGAGGUACGAAAGCGUGGGUAGCAAACAGG